GAAAGGCCACUUGGUGGACUCGAGCGGCGAACGGGUGAGUACACGUGAGUAAUCUGCCCUUGGCUUUGGAUAGCCCCCGGAACGGUGAUUAAUCCGGGAUACGACAACUACUCGCCUGGUUGGUUGUGAAAGUUUUUCGCCAGGGAUGUGCUCGCGCCUAUCAGCUUGAUGGUGAGGUAAUGGCUCACCAUGGCUUCGACGGGUAGCCCGGCCUGAGAGGGUGACCGGUCACACUGGGACUGAGACACGGCCCAGACUCCUACCGGAGGCAGCAGUGGGGAAUAUUGGACAAUGGGCGGAAGCCUGAUCCAGCAACGCCGCCUGAGGGAUGACGGCCUUCGGGUUGUAAACCUCUUUCGGUAGGGACGAAGCGCAAGUGACGGUACCUACUAAAGAAGCACCGGCCAACUACGUGCCAGCAGCCGCGGUAAUACGUUGGGUGCGAGCGUUGUCCGGAAUUAUUGGGCGUAAAGGGCUCGUAGGCGGUUUGUCGCGUCGGGAGUGAAAACCAGGUGCUUAACACCUGGCUUGCUUUCGAUACGGGCAGACUAGAGGUAUGCAGGGGAGAACGGAAUUCCUGGUGUAGCGGUGAAAUGCGCAGAUAUCAGGAGGAACACCGGUGGCGAAGGCGGUUCUCUGGGCAUGACCUGACGCUGAGGAGCGAAAGUGUGGGGAGCGAACAGGAUUAGAUACCCUGGUAGUCCACACCGUAAACGUUGGGCGCUAGGUGUGGGGUCCAUUCCACGGAUUCCGUGCCGCAGCUAACGCAUUAAGCGCCCCGCCUGGGGAGUACGGCCGCAAGGCUAAAACUCAAAGGAAUUGACGGGGGCCCGCACAAGCGGCGGAGCAUGCGGAUUAAUUCGAUGCAACGCGAAGAACCUUACCUGGGUUUGACAUACACCCUGCCGCUCCAGAGAUGGGGCUUCUUUUGGGGGUGUACAGGUGGUGCA
This 950-nucleotide ribosomal RNA is filed under the name Nocardioides ganghwensis. RNAcentral's name for it is "bacterial SSU rRNA". It matches the Rfam family "Bacterial small subunit ribosomal RNA", at positions 69 to 1045 of the family's 1533-position model. Lineage: Bacteria; Bacillati; Actinomycetota; Actinomycetes; Propionibacteriales; Nocardioidaceae. The record is from RNAcentral.